GCCCACGUAGCUCAGCGGAUAGAGCACCAGCUUCCGGAGUUGGGUUGUCGGAGGUUCGAGUCCUUCCGUGGGCGCCU
Molecule: transfer RNA, 77 nt
Filed under: Micromonospora humi
Lineage: Bacteria; Bacillati; Actinomycetota; Actinomycetes; Micromonosporales; Micromonosporaceae
Description: tRNA_Arg_CCG
Rfam family: tRNA
About the family: Transfer RNA (tRNA) molecules are approximately 80 nucleotides in length.
Source: RNAcentral